Molecule: long non-coding RNA, 22872 nt
Filed under: Gossypium barbadense (sea-island cotton)
Lineage: Eukaryota; Viridiplantae; Streptophyta; Magnoliopsida; Malvales; Malvaceae
Description: long non-coding RNA (GBAR_LNC016706)
Source: RNAcentral
UCAUGUCAGGAAGCACCGUGGCAUUGGUCCUUUCGUUUCACUUCUAAUGCUUGUUAUUCUAGCCCUGGGACACUUCAUCCCUUUGGUUCUAAACCUCGAAGCAAUGUUCAUUCAAGAUAGCAAGAGAUCGGUCUUGAUUAGAGGUGGAAGGCGGCUCGAAAUGAACAAGGUUAUCAUUAGAGUCGUCACAAUGGUGGCUUUUCUGCUGCAAGUCCGUCUUCUGAUGCUCUCAUGGACUGCUAGAUGCUCCACUGAAAAGAAAAAGACCUUGUGGAUUGCAGAGAAAAGGGGGCUGUAUGUGUGUGUUCCGGUGUAUGUAAUCGGAGCUAUUAUCGCUUUUUCAGUUAAGUCAAGGCAGAAUGUACAUCUAACUUGGUACUACAUAGAUGAAAUCAUUUUGGGGAGUUCAAGAGCUUAUGCUGGUUUGGUACUGGAUGCCUUUCUUUUUCCUCAAAUAAUCUUCAAUAUGUUCCAGAACUUGAGAGAACCAGCACUUUCUCAUUUCUUUUACAUCGGAAUCACCCUUGUUCGCCUCGUACCCCAUGGAUAUGAUCUGUACAGAGCAAACAACUAUGCUGAUAUAGAUGACUCAUACAUCUACGGAGAUCAUGGUGCAGAUUACUACUCAACGGCUUGGGACUUCAUUAUUAUUGUGUUGGGUAUAUUCUUUGCUGUGAUCAUACACUACCAACAGCGCCUCGGUGGUCGAUAUUUCCUUCCGAAGAGAUUCCAAGAAUCUGUGAUAGAUGAGGAAUUUCCGGUAGAUUCGGAAGAACAAUUGCCAUUGAGAUAUAACACCUAGUGCAUGCUUUAAGUGUUAACUACUUUUGUUACCGUGGACUUGUUUUUAGUACUGAUUCGAAAUAAUAAAUAGAACUGUUCUAAAAAAUGUUUUAUUGUAGCUUGGGUAAGUGUUGGGUAAGAAUAUACCUCCAAUAUGAAUAAGUUUGAAGAGUACAUCUCCUUAUCCAUGUUUAAAUAUGUAUCCAACAUGGAUACAAAGAGAAGAUUUAAACUGAUAAUAAUUCAUUAAUCAUACGAAGUCCAUAGAUAUGACCAUUCCAUCAUAGUGUACAAUGAGAUUCAGACAUAAGACAAACAGGCAUGAAAACGCACUCAAUGUCUCAAACUCAACAACAAAACACCAAUUUAUUCAACUCAAAUUUAUUAUUUUUAGGUCCUAAUAUUGCUAUGGACUAAAACAUCAUGGUUCUAUGUCUGCUUAAUGAGUGCCACAUGUGUAGUUUGUGCAGCUGCAGCUAUCUCCACACUUGCACUUGCCAUCGUUCUCUGCCACAGCCUCGACCACUACAGUGCUGAUGUAGCUGCAAAGAAAUAUCACAACAGAUUAUAUUUAAGCAUAUGUGUUCCACUGUGCAAGACAUAGCUUUUUUUUUGCUUCUCUAGGUAAUAAUAUGAUUACUUAUCCAAAUGGGUUCAAUUUUGGUUAAAUUAUUCAAUAUUGGUCCUAAUAUACCUCUUUUCAGUCUCAAUGACCAAGCUAUUUCCUUUCUUCCUGCAAGCAUAACAAAAAAAGCCUUCAGUUUCAAUGAUAAUUGAUUGCAAACUCAUGCAUUUAGUCACAGCAACCUUAGUAAAUUUAUAUUUUAUCUAUGAAAAAAAUUAUAAUUAAAUUCCGGCAGCUAAUAAAUAUUUUUUUUGAAUUUGCCCCUAGUAGUGCAUACUACAGCUAAAAAACAUGCAGAACUAACUUAGGAACAAUAACAAAAUCAAAGAACCACACACAACAGUAGAAACUGGUCGAAAGCUGAUGAUAAAAGGAUGAUUUCUUACACGCACUGACUCUUGUCAGAGCAGUCGCAGUUGCCGCACUUGUCAGACAUGGUGAAUUUGAAAAAGUUGAGAAGUAAAAGGUUUGUUUGAGUUUCUAAAGUAGUUAAGCUAGCUUGCUAUGUAUAUCCAAAGCUAUGCACUUGAUGUAUUUAUAGAAGAGGAAGUACAUUGAAAUGGUGCAAAGGGAAGGCAUCUGUAGGGGCCCAAGCAGGCAUGAGAGAAGCACACGCCUCUGCUACAAAGGAAACGAAUCUUGAUAAUGGAGGCAAAGAAAUGGUUGGCUUACGGUCCUCCUCUCAUGUCUAUAUCAUUUGGAAUUUUCUUUUAGGUUGUCUUUUAGAAUGUAAUCCCAAAAUCUAUGCAAUAUGGACUCUACCCAAAAUGAAAAAUCAAAUUCAACUUUGAAUUGGUACUGCCUUUUAAGUUGAUAUUUAUAUAUCCAACCGAACUUUCAUAGAUCCUCUUUGUUAAUUCUAACACUUACAUAUUCCCCCAUAAGGUCGAGGCGUUCACCAAUUGUGGUUUGCAUUUACAUGUUCUAUUGGAGGUAAAUCUCAUUUCAAAUCAUAAUCUCCAUACAUUUUGCCAUCAUAUCUCAACAGUUUCCACCCUUUCCCCCUUCCACCAUCCAAGAUACGGAGCUUGUGCACCAAGGAUAAGUAUCCAUUCACAAUCUUUCUUACGCAUAUCGUUAUUAUCAUUUUAGUUUGUUAUCACUGACAUGCACAAUUGAUUUUAAAUAAACUUGCUUACUUGGAGAAGAAUAUUAUCAUGAAAUUAGAUGGAAUUUAACUGGAGCACAAGUGAAAGGAACUCACCAGAUUUUACCAGGAAAAGCUUUGCUUAUUCUAUGGGUUCUUUCCCUUUUGCACUAGGGCCUUCUCCCAUUUCUUUAGUUAAAUAAGAUUAAACAUUUUAUUAAGUACAAAAUCAAUCUAAACUUAAAGGUAAAAACAAGAAUCGAAAACAUGCAAACAUUAAUCAGAAGGAAGUUUCUUUCCUAUCUACCUCUAGUAGAAACCUAUAGUAAUGGUUCCUACUACCCUAUCAUUCUUCAUAUAAAACUAAAGGACCUAAGAAUUUACCAGUUGUUAGCUCAAAAACUGGUACCUUCUUCACGCAGCGAAGAACACACUAAGUUUCUUCUGGGGGAACAGGAAUGAACAGUGAAAAAUGGUGAAUAAAGUCAUCCUCUGUUAAGCUCUUAUCUUAUUUAUAUAGGAAUUAGCCCGUAAUUCCACUAUAACAAGUUACCUAAUCAUUUUACAUACACACUCUAUUCCACUAAUCAAACGAGGUUCUACAGAUGUCUUGCAAAAAUGACAGUUCCUAACUUAAAAUUUUGACACAUAAUUGAUGCAUGUCCCACCUACCCAGGCUAUCAACAGAAAUAUCGAAUGACUUACCUUGCUAUAAAAGAACUUGCCACUAGUGUGUCCACACAUGGAAGAACUUGCCAAGCAAAGGAGUUCGCCAAACGCAAGAAAGUGAAAAUCCAUCAGACUGCGGAACACAACGAAAUAAUCCGCUAGGCGAGUCUGCCCAAAAAUUUGGCUAAUCUUGCUGAUUAGAAGGACUAAAUUGCAAGAUCACAUCCAUCGUGUUAGCCGGCCAAAAUACGGAUUCUAAGGUUUGGGGUGUUAUAACUAGGGUUGCCCCAUUCUACAUCUUGAUUGAACUAGGAUUUCACUUUUCUAAUAAAAAAAACUUCUACAACUUAAUAAUUUUACCUUAUCUUAUUAUAAAUAAAUGGCACCGAUAUGGCAUAAAUAACGAACUUUGAAAGAUUAUUAUGCUACCGAAAAAUAGAGAGUUUUAUUGGCAACUAUUAAAUAUAUUUUUCCGGAAUAAUAAUUUUACUAGUUUCUUUUUGAGAAGAGAGAAUUUUUGUUUUCACCCCAUAAUUAAAGAAAAAUUUUCUAGUUUUGUGUUUUGAUUCAAUUAGUUUGUGCUCACACUCGAAACAUUUCAUGGUUUAAGAAUAGUAGAGAAGAUUGUUUGGUUGAAUCCAGAAAAUGUUAAAGAUCCGCAUAUCCAAAAACAUAUAUACGAUUUUGGUCUAAAAUUUAUUACUAUAAAUAUCAUAAACCGGGUUAUUUUCAAAAUAUUAAUUUUUCGUUAUGCAAAAAAACCAUUUUCAAACUAAAUUUUUUUCAACACCAAGCACAUACUAAAUGUGAGGUUGAAACAACCACACAUUAAGAGUCAGAGCAAUGAUGAGCAACAAUUUUUAGCAAACACGUGUUCGAGUGUCACUGGCUAUGAAGUGUUGAGGCAUACGAAUGAUGGAACACACCAUUUUGAAACAAUUCUACAUAUUCUUGUUUCCUUCAACCUUGAAGCAUUUUUGUUGUUGCUGGGUAUUGAAAUUUGCUCUGGUGCUCUUGUUUACCUGCUACGGACACGUGGUACCACGAGAGGAAACCUAAGAGACGCUCACGAAUGAUCCUUCUCUUUGCAACACUUGUCUUAUUCUCUACUUGAAGGUCACUCAAAUGACCAUUUAUCUGGACACUUCAUCCUCUUGGCCACUUCCUUUUAGUGGGAACACACUAACUCACAAGGGGAAACCAUGCCGCUAAGGUGUAACAACCUCAUUCCAAGAAAUGUUAGAGCAUCAUCAAAACUAACCUACCACCUGGCCAACCAUAUGAUCAAACCACCGCUCGUACUAUCGGUGACAUGGCACCAACAACCACGAGACCUCCUAUAAAUACCUUCCAUAAUGCUGAAGGAAGGAUCUUUCUGCCUUCAACAGCCCUAAGCACUCUUUAGAACCCUGUCUCCUUUGCUACCUUACCUCCCUCGCUGCCUUCCUCUUUUUUCCGACUCUUCACUUAUUUAAGUGAAUUGAUCUUCCUUAUACCACCACCUCUCCUCAUCUCAUCAAUUACUAAUACCCAAUAUCAACAAAAUAUAAAUACGAUAUCUGUUAAAGAGAUACAUAAUAUAUGAAAUCUAUUAAUAACAAUUUCAUUGCUCCAAUCAAUUGUGGUGAACUUUUGUUUAGAUUUAUUUCCCUGAAUAAAUUUAAUAGUAAAUUGUAGUUUGUAGACACCGAAAGCACGUUUCAGGCCAGAAAAAAAAGACAGCGAAAGCUGGUGGAAGGUUUCAAGUUUCUGAUUUUAAGUCAAGUCAGCUGUUGUAGUUUCUGAUUUUAAGUCAUGUCAGCUGUUGUAGGACCUGCCAAUAAAAGCCUUUUGUCUGGACCCAAAAAAUUGGCAAAAAGAAGAAGAAAGGUGCAUGCUGAUUGACAUUGACUUAGCUAUAUGCCAAAAUUAUAAUAAUACAUGGAUUGAAGUAGGGCACAAGUACUAUUCAUACUAGUGCGAAACCCCUUGCUUUGUUGACUUGCUUAAGUGAUAAAAAUUAAUUUUAAUUCGUAAUUCAUUUAAAUUUUUUAUAUUAUUAUUUGUUUUUAAAUUAUAAAAAAAUAUAUAGAAUUAUUAGAUAAAUAUAUGUCCGGAAUGAACUUGAAGAUAUAAUUGUUCAGAUUCACUUGUAUCUAAAUAACUAUUUGUCCAGAUUUAUUGUGCACUUAAAAUAAAAAAUCCUAAAAUUCAAGAAAAAAUCUACAAAAUUUAUAAAAAAAAAACGUAAAAUUUUAGUAAAUACAAGAGUAUAUAUUAAAAAAUUCUAUUUCUAUUUUUUGAAAUUAUAAAAAAAUAAAAACACAAAAAAAGACAUUACGAGCGAAUCUAGUUAUAUGGUUGUCCAAAAAUUUAAUUGUUCAGAUUCAUUAUGCAUGCAAAAUAAAAAAUAAAAUUCCUAAUUUUUAAUAUUUUUAAAUUUUUAUAAAAAUUAUUUUUGGGAUACGUCUCAACAUUCUAUACCAUCAGACCAAAAAUUAAUAAUGUUAGUUAAGUAUGAGCAAAAAAUACCAAUUUGCCUUAUAAUUUUUAGUCGAUUGAGUUUUAACUCGAUUGACAUAAAUACUAUAGUCAAUAUAGAAGGCCAUGGGUUCGACUAUGCUAAAAUACAUUAUACUCCUAUUUAUGAGGUGAGAAGGUAUUAUAAAUAAUUCUAGGCAUUGUAUUUAAAAAAAAAAAUUAAAACCUAAAAUAACUUGUGAUUUUUAAAUUUAAAUACUCAAUAAAUAUAAAUUACUAUGUUGAAAUACCUCUAUAUAUAUUAGCCAGUUUUCUAUAGUUUAGCUACAUAACCAUGUUUCUAUGCUUUCAUUGGUAAGUCUAAAUAGAUUAAACAAUUAAUAAUCUUAUUAGAGACCGCUAAUGUAAGGUCCCAACUCCCAACCUAAAAGUUACUACAUUUGUAAUCACUGAAUUUUCUCUAAAUUAAUUUCGUGUUAAAAGAAGAAGGAUUUUUUUUUAAUUUUUAAUUUUUUUUUUUGCAUUUUGACCCCUAAACCUUCCAUAAUUAGUAUUUUCCAUAAUGUCAUUUUCUCUUCAUUUUCCAUAAUGUCAUUUCCAGUGAGAGAUGUAGAGUGAUGUCUACAAGUACCAGUAGAUAUUACAUGCUUGAAGUUGAUGUUUAAAGUUCAUAAUCGGAUAUUAAAUUAUAAUCAUUCGUAUAAUCAAAAUCGAUAUAAUAAAUCUAAAAAAAAUUAUGAUUACGAAUUAUGAGAUAUUUUUAUAUUUUUUUGGUAUUUUUAUCAUUUUUUAUGUACAUAUUUAAGGUUUAUGAUUUUUUCUCUCAACAAUAUUGUCUCAAAAAUUUAAAUAAUGUGACUUAUCAUUGUAGGCAUUUGAUUGGUCCAAAUCAAAAUCUAACUCUUUCAACCGUGUAAAGAGAGUCAAGGUCUCAUCAUCUAAUUCAAUUAUCUUAAUUAGACGAUCAUUUACAAUUCAAUUCUAAACUAUCAUACAAUCAAAAUAUGAAUGAAAAGAAAUUUUAUAAUUAAUAUAUUAAUUAAAAUUUUAUAUAAUGAGUAUUUAAUUGAAAUCAUAAAAAUUUUAAAAUUUUUUAUGUUAAGAGUUCAUAUCUCAUCAUAAUUUACUAACGUGACACACAUAAGCAGUCACGUGCAUGACACGUCAAUAUUUAAUUAAAUACAUAGUUAAUUUCAAGUCUCUAAAAAUAAAUGAUUGACAAAUAGCAGGAAUUUUCAUUCAUCUCUAUGCUCUAGUUGCUUAAAUCAAGUCAGCUGCUGGACCUGCCAGGAAAAGUCUUUUGUUUGGACCCAAAAUCUGGAAAAAUAUGUGUACCUGCCAGGAAAAGUCUUUGGUUUGGACCCAAAAACUGGAAAAAUAUGUGUAUCUCCAAUGAGAUUGACUUGGCUAUAAUAAUAAUCAUAACCACUCGUUGUUGGAUUGAGGAUGAGCACGAGUCUUGACUCUAAAACUUUAUUUAAUGUGAUAAAAUAUAAAUAAGUAUUAUUCAUACGAAUUUUUCUGCAAGCUCUUGUUCUUGGAAAUUUCCCAUGUCCAGUGAGAGAUGUAGAGUAAUAUCUAUAUAUUUAUGAUCAUUUUCAAAGCUUUUGCAAUAAGUUCUUUACCGCAAUCUUGCUGUCUGAAGAAAAUCAUGUCUAUAGAUAUGGACUGUUCCAUAUUCUGUAGGACGAAACUUUGUUUUAUUAAUGCUUUCUUCUUCUUGUUUAUCAUCUCCUCUUUCACAUGUCCUCAUGUAGUCUUCGGCACAGCAAGUGAAGUUGAUUAUGGUGUUCACUGUAACUCAGUUGUUCAUGAAUCCAAACCAGUUGAUGAGGAGUUCAAUAUCAUGCCUUUCCCUGGACGUCAAAAUGGUUACUUCAGUGGUGGUGAUAAAGUCCUAAACAAUCCUCCUUCACGUUCCUACUCUCCACCGGAAUCGAAAACUUUCCUUUUCGAGACUCACCACGUAUAUACAACCGAUGCCGAUGAUGUCUUUAUGGUGGAAGGAAACCUGAUUUUUCAAACCUCGUUUUACUAUGAACAAAGUAUCUCCUAUGGAAGCUCAUACGUUAUAAGGUCAAGCGACUCAAGCGACCGUGGGACACUGGACUUCGAUUUUCAAGGCUUCUGGUCUCGAACAACCGGGAAGCUUUGCAUGGUGGGAUCGAGUUAUGCUUACUCGAAAGAAGGUAAACUGCUUCAUCUUGCUGCUGUUCUUGAGAUUAAUAAUCUUCAGAGUUCAAGUAAUAUUAGGACUUUAGUCACUGGUACCAUGGAUAGCUUGAGUUCUGCUAAUGAUCCAAAUCACUUUGAGCAAAUAUCACUGCUGAUGUUUCCUCAAGUAAAUUACGCUUACACCAUGAUUUCAAAUCAGUUCAGUGAAGGGUGUCCUCGGGGAACCGAUGUCCAACCGAUGUCGUCCCUCCGCUUAUCGCGCACUCGAACUAUUUGUGAUAUGUUAGGUGGAAGCAAUGCUUUCGAAUUGGAGUAUUCUGGCAGUUGUAAUUUUUCAAAGAGUUGCAAUCCAUUUGGUGAUGGUAUUAGAUAUUUCCCUUCAGUAGUAUCAUUGCGUAUGAUUCAGUGCUCAAACGAUGGGCUAAGCUUGAGGCUUCUGAUAGAAUUUCGGAACGAUAGAUAUCAGGGAUACUAUAGCUCUCCCAAUCUCAACACUUCAUUAAUUGGAGAAGGAUCUUGGGAUGCAAAGAGUAAUCGGCUUUGUAUCAUAGCUUGCCGAAUCUAUGAUGCAUCGAGCUCCUUGGAGAAGUCUCAUGUCGGAGACUGCACGACACGGUUGAGCUUAAGAUUCCCUGCAAUCUUGUCUAUCAGAAACACAAGCACCAUCGUAGGAGAAAUUUGGAGUGUGAAGCUUAGGAAUGAAGGUGGUUUCUUUGAUAGGAUCGAGUUCCGAAAUACUGCACCUUAUGGAGGAAUUCAACUUCAAGGUUUGAAGUAUGUGUACACGGAAAUGGACGAAGUGAAGAAAUCAUGUCCAAAGAAGAAUUCUAGGACUAAAAGCAGUAGGGAACACUAUCCAGAUGGCUAUUCUGGAGACAUGAGUUUUAGUAUGUCGAUCAUCAACGGUUCCAAAGGAAGCAUCGGAUGGGGUUCUUCGAAUAUUCUUGCGGUAGAUGAUCAGCAGUAUCAGAGAUUUCCAUCUCUAUUACCAUCCUCCAGCUCAAAGCCUAAAAUUCCUGGUGUUGAAUCCGAUUCCAGCAGUGGCUUGCUUAAUGUCAGCUAUAAAAUGAGUAUCAUGCUGCGUAGUUCGGAAUUGGAUGGUGGCCUUAAUCCGGUUAACGAAUCUUCAAAUGAAUAUUUGAAAACCGAAAUCCAAAUUUCUGCUGAAGGGGUUUAUGAUACAGCAACAGGUAGCCUAUGCAUGGUUGGCUGCAGACAUUUAAGGUCAGGUGACAAAACAUUUUCAAGCCAUUCGAUGGAUUGCGAGAUCCUGGUGAAAAUCAAUUUUCCUCCAUUGAACUCGGACAGGAGAAGUAAGAUCAGAGGAAGCAUCGAAAGCACACGUGAAGAAAUCGAUCCUCUGUCCUUCAAGCCCCUGCAGUUUUCGGGAAGAGCUUAUUAUCGCAGUUGGGUUACGGAAUCAAUUUGGAGAAUGGAUUUCGAGAUGAUCGUGUCGGUCAUAUCCAACACUCUUACAAUUAUCUUUGUUGCAUUUCAAAUCUUUCAUGUGAGGAAGCACCGUGGCAUUGGUCCUGUGGUUUCACUUCUCAUGCUAGUUAUUCUAGCCCUGGGACACUUCAUCCCUUUGGUUCUAAACCUCGAAGCAAUGUUCAUUCAAAAUAGCGAGAGAUCGGUCUUGAUUAGAGGUGAAACGUGGCUCGAAAUGAACGAGGUGAUCGUUAGAGUCGUCACAAUGGUGGCUUUUCUGCUGCAAGUCCGUCUUCUGAUGCUCUCGUGGACUGCUAGAUGCUCCACUGAAAAGAAAAAGACCUUGUGGAUUGCAGAGAAAAGGGGGCUGUAUGUGUGUGUUCCGGUGUACGGAAUCGGAGCUAUUAUUGCCUUUUCGGUUAAGUCAAGGCAGAAUGUACACCGAACAGUAAGGGCCAGGCAUUCUUGGUACUACAUAGAUGAAAUCAUUUUGGGGAAUUCAAGAGCUUAUGCUGGUUUGAUACUGGAUGCCUUUCUUUUCCCUCAAAUUAUCUUCAACGUGUUCCACAACUCGAGAGAACUGGCUCUUUCUCGACUCUUUUACAUCGGAAUCACCCUUGUUCGCCUCGUACCCCAUGGAUAUGAUCUGUACAGGGCAAACAACUAUGUUGAUAUAGAUGACACAUACAUUUACGCAGAUCAUGGUGCAGAUUACUACUCAACUGCUUGGGACUUCAUUAUUAUUGUGUUGGGUAUAUUCUUUGCUGUGAUCAUACACUACCAACAGCGCCUCGGCGGUCGAUAUUUCCUUUCGAAGAGAUUCCUAGAAUCUGGGACAGAUAAGGAACCUCCAGUGGAUUCAGAAGAACAAUUGCCAUUGAAAUAUAGCACCUAGUCCAUGCCUUGUGUUACUUUUAAGUGUUCACAACUUUUACUGUUUCCAAAUAAUUAUGUAAAUUCAUCCUUUUUCUUUUAUAGCUUAAUAAGCCUAAUGUAAUAUAAAGUUAUAAAUAAAAUUGUUUUAAAAAAUAUUUUAUUUUAAAUUUUUAUUUUAGAUUAAAGUUUGGGUGAGCCUUAAAUGUGAAUAUGUACCCAAAAUGAAUAAAUUUAAAAAGUACACAGUACAAAGAAAAAAAAAAAUUUUGUGUCAGAAUCAAAUAAAAAAAUCCGAAAAAAAGAAAAAAAAAUUGGGUGUUGGCCUGUCAAUGGCCGGCACCCAGUACGCAGUACAAAGAAAAAAAUUUAUUUAUUUUUAUUUUUUUCGUAUUUUUUUAUCUGAUUCUGACACGAAAAAAAAAUAAUUUUUUUUCUUUCUACUGUGUACUGGGUGCCGGCCAUUGACAGGCCAGCACCCAAAAUUUUUUUUUAUUUUUUUUCUUAUUUUUUAUCUGAUUCUGACACAAAAAAAUAAAAUUUUUUUUCUUUGUACUGUGUACUGGGUGCCGGCUAUUGACAGGCCAGCACCCAAAAAUUUUUUUUUAAUUUUUUUCGUAUUUUUUAUCUUAUUCUGACACGAAAAAAAAUAAAAAAAAAUUUUGUACUGUGUACUGGGUGCCGGCCAUUGACAGGCCAGCACCAAAUUUUUUUUUUUGUUUUUUUUCUUUUUUGUAUAUCCGUAUUUCAGUAUUACACAAUUUUUUUAAAAAAAUACCUGGGUUCUGGCCAUUGACAAGCCAGAACCCAAAAAAAUAAUUUUUUUAAGUCUAACAUAAUGAUUAGCCAAUCAUUGGUGCAAAAAAAGAGUGGGUACUGUUCAUUUUAGGUUAUUUUGGUGAUUGUUUUUAAACUUGGGUUAUUUUUGUAAAUAUAAUAUUUUUUGGGUUAUUUGGGUAAAACAGCCUAGUUCUGUCCUGGACGGGUCAUUGGAUCUAAUUCGAAGUCUUAUCCGAAAAUUGAAAGGGUUUGAAUGAAAAUAUAAGCUCAAAAAAUAGACUUGGACAAAAUAAAAAGACUCGUUUAAAAAACGGAUCAGACCUUGGGUAAGCCUUUUUGGCCCAAUCUCGGCCCUAAUUAGCAAAAAGACAAAAAAAAAAGCCUACUAUUUUCUUACUGUUUUGAUACUAUUUUUUUUAUUAUUUUCUUACUUUUUUACUAUCAUUUCAUUAUUAUGUUACUAUUAUUUUGUUAUUAUUAUUUAGAUAUUGUAUAACUCUUAUUUUAAUAUUAAUUUUGUUACUAUUUUAGAGACAUUUGUUUGUUAAGUUACACUUAUCUUAGUAUUAUUUAAGUAUAAAUUUAUUUUUUAAAUUUAUUUUCAAUUUUUUAAGAAUCAUUUAUUUUAAUGUUUUUUAUAUUUUAGAUGUAUUAUAUUUUUAAUUUUUUAUAUAUAAAAAAUAAUAUAAAGAAAUUAAUUUGGGCGGAUCGAACUAGACUCGAGUUUUAGUAUUUUUAUCCAAGUUGGGCUUGAAAAAAAUUUAAGCCCAUUUUUCGGGUCAAAUCGAGCCCAAACAUAGCAAACGGGCCUAAAAUAAUAAUAAUUCAUUAUUGGAUUGAGGUAGAACAUGAGGCUUGACUCUCGGCUUGUUAAAAUAUAUUAUUUGGUACCCAUAUUUGAUUUCAAUGUUUGAUUUGGUAUCUGAGUUUGACUUCAAUGCUUAGUUUGAUACUUGAGUUUUUUCAUAUUAAUGCUUGAGUUUUUCUUUGUCACAUAUAAGUACCUAAAUUUUACUUCAAUGUUUAAUUUGGCACUUGAGUUUUUUCUUUUGUCCCAAUUAAGUACCUAUGAUUAUUUUACUAAGGCACACAUGUAAAAUAUUUUUUGAAGUACACGAUGUUUAGUUUGGGUACCAAAUUAAAUAUUGAAACCAAAUAUAAGCACUAAAUGGUAUAUUAACCCUUAACUUUAUCAUAUAGGGACCUAAAUUUAACAAAAAUAAAAUUAACAGUGUUAACAAUUAGACCUAAAUUCUAAAAUUUUAAAAGUAGAAAGAGUAAGGUCCUGAAAAUAAAAAUAUAGGGACUAAAUUUUAAAUUUAUGAAUCGUACAGGAUCUACAACAUAUUUUAACCCUUUGAAAAAUCAACGAUUAGACCACUUUUAGCAAAUAGCAGGAAAUUGCAUCCAUGUGCUCUAGUUUUUAAGUCAAGUCAGCUGUUGUAGGACCUGCCGACAAUAAUAAUAAUAACCACUCGUUAUUGAUUGAGGUAGAAGACGAGGCAUGACUCUAAACUUCCUUUAAUUUUAAAGUUAAUAUAUUAUUUAGUACCUAUAUUUAAUUUUAAUGUUCAAUUCGAUACCUAAAUUUUUUUCCCAAAUUGGUACCUGAUUUUUUGGGUAUUGAUACUUGAGUUUUCUUUUUCCCAUACCAGUACUCAGGUUUGACUUUAAUGUUUAAUUUAACACCUGAGUUUUUUUUGUCCCAAUUAAGUAUCUAUGUUUUUUUACUAGGCGGACAUGUCAAAUAUUUAUUGAACCACACGAUGUCGUUUAGUUUGAGUAUCGAAUUGAACAUUGAAGCCAAACUUAGGUUUCAAAUUGAAACAAAAAAAAGAUUAGGUACAAAAUUGAAAAUUCAAGCCAAAUGUAAGUACCAAAUGAUAUAUUAACCCUUAAUUUUAUCAUAUAUAUAUAUAUAUGUAAAUAUUAAUCAAAAAAAUUAAACAUUUUGGUGUUGAUUAUAUAAAUAUUCAUAUAAGACAUUCACACCAAAUGGCAUGAUUUCACCCAUAUUUCUGGUAUUGUUUAUACGUUUGAGGGUCAGUCUACAAAAAAAUACAUCAGUUUUCAAAAAUUAUUUAGUUGUUAAAUAUAAGGUUGUCUUUUGCUGUGUUCAUUUUAUAAUGUGAUUUGAUCAAAAACUUCCUUCGGAUUAAAUAUAAAAUAUUGUCAUAAUCCUCUCUUACUUUUCAAAGUCUUGCAAGGUCUUGUUCUUGGAAAUUUCCCAUGUCCAGUGAGAGAUGUAGAGUAUAAUAUCUAUAUAUUUAUGAUCAUUUUCAAAGCUUUUGCAAUAAGUUCUUUAUCACAAUCUUGCUGUCUGAAGAAAUUCAUGUCUAUAGAUAUGGACUGUUCCAUAUUCUGUACGACGAAACUCUGUUUUAUUAAUGCUUUCUUCAUGUUGUUUAUCAUCUCCUCUUUCACAUGUCCUCAUGUAGUCUUCGGCACAGCAAGUGAAGUUGAUUAUGGUGUUCACUGUAACUCAGUUGUUCAUGAAUCCAAACCAGUUGAUGAGGAGUUCAAUAUCAUGCCUUUCCCUGGACGUCAAAAUGGUUACUUCAGUGGUGGUGAUAAAGUCCUAAACAAUCCUCCUUCACGUUCCUACUCUGCACCCAAAUCGAAAACGCUCCUUUUCGAGACUCACCACGUAUUUACAACCGAAGCUGAUGAUGUCUUUAUGGUGGAAGGAAACCUGAUUUUUCAAACCUCGUUUUACUAUGAACGGAGUAUCUCCUCUGGAAGCUCACACUUUAUUAUAAGGUCAAGCGAUUCAAGCGACCGUGGGACACUGGACUUCGAUUUUCGAGGCUUCUGGUCUCGAACAACCGGGAAGCUUUGCAUGGUGGGAUCGAGUUAUGCUUACUCCAAAGAAGGUAAACUGCUUCAUCUUGCUGCUGUUCUUAAGAUUAAUAAUCUUAGGAAGUCAAGUACUAUCAGAACUUUAGUGACUGGUACCCUGGAUAGCUUGAAUUCAAUUGGUGAUCCAAAUCACUUUGAGCAAAUUUCACUGCUGAUGUUUCCCCAACUAAAUUACGCUUACACCAUGGUUUCAAAACAAUUUAGUGAAGGGUGUCCUCGGGGAACCGAUGUCCAACCGAUGUCGUCCCUCCGCUUAUCGCAAACUCGAACUAUUUGUGAUAUGUUAGGUGGAAGCAAUGCUUUCGAAUUGGAGUAUACUGGCAGUUGUAAUUCUUCAAAGAGUUGCAAUCCAUUUGGUGAUGGUAUUGGAUAUUUACCUUCAGUAAUAUCGUUGAGUAUGAUUCAGUGCUCAAACGAUAGGCAAAGCUUGAGGUUUCUGAUAGAAUUCCGGAACGACAGCUAUCAGGGAUACUAUAGCUCUCCCAAUCUCAACACUUCAUUAAUUGGAGAAGGAUCUUGGGAUGCAAAGAGUAAUCGGCUUUGUAUCAUUGCUUGCCGAAUCUAUGAUGCAUCGAGCUCCUUGGAGAAGUCUCAUGUCGGAGACUGCACGACACGGUUGAGCUUAAGAUUCCCUGCAAUCUUGUCUAUCAGAAACCCAAGCACCAUUGUAGGAGAAAUUUGGAGUGAGAAGCCUAGGAAUGAAGGUGGUUUCUUUGACAGGGUCGAGUUCCGAAAUACUGGACGUUAUGGAGGAGGAAUUCAACUUCAAGGUUUGAAGUAUGUGUACACGGAAAUGGACGAAGUGAAGAAAUCAUGUCCAAAGAAGAAUUCUAGGACUAAUAGCAGUAUGGAACACUAUCCAGAUGGCUAUUCUGGAGACAUGAGUUUUAGUAUGUCCAUCAUCAACGGUUCCAAAGGAAGCAUCGGAUGGGGUUCUUCGGAUAUUCUUGCGGUAGAUGAUCAGCAGUAUCAGAGAUUUCCAUCUCUAUUACCAUCCUCAAGCUCAAAGCCUAAAAGUUCUGGCGUUGAAUCCGAUUCCAGCAGUGGCUUGCUUAAUGUCAGCUAUAAAAUUAGCAUCCCGCCACUUAGUUUGGAAUUGGAUGGUGGCCUCAAACCGGUUAACCAAUCUUCAUAUGAAUAUCUGCAAACCAAAAUCCAAAUUUCUGCUGAAGGGGUUUAUGAUACAACAACAGGUAGCCUAUGCAUGGUUGGCUGCAGGCGUUCAAGGUUAGACGGCAAAUCAUUUUCAAGCCAUUCGAUAGAUUGCGAUAUCCUUGUGCAAGUCAACUUUCUUCCAUUGAACUCGCGCAAGAUAAAUAACAUCAAGGGAAGCAUCGAGAGCACGCGUGAAAAUACCGAUAGUCUGUACUUCAAGCCUCUGCAGAUUUUGGGAACAACUAAUUCUCGCAGUUGGGGAGCGGAAUCGAUUUGGAGAAUGGAUUUCGAGAUGAUCGUGUCGGUCGUAUCCAACACUCUUGCAAUUAUCUUUGUUGCAUUUCAAAUCUUUCAUGUGAGGAAGCACCGUGGCAUUGGUCCUAUGGUUUCACUUCUCAUGCUUGUUAUUCUAGCCCUGGGACACUUGAUCCCUUUGGUUCUAAACCUCGAAGCAACGUUCAUUCAGGAUAGCGAGCGAUCGAUCUUGAUUAGAGGUGGAAGGUGGCUCGAAAUGAAUGAGGUGAUCAUUAGAGUCGUCACAAUGGUGGCUUUUCUGCUGCAAGUCCGUCUUCUGAUGCUCUCAUGGACUGCUAGAUGCUCCACUGAAAAGAAAAAGACCUUGUGGAUUGCAGAAAAAAGGGGGCUGUAUGUGUGUGUUCCGGUGUACGUAAUCGGAGCUAUUAUCGCCUUUUCGGUUAAGUCAAGGCAGAAUGUACACGGAACAGUAAUGGCCAGGCAUUCUUGGUACGACAUAGAUGAAAUCAUUUUGGGGAAUUCAAGAGCUUAUGCUGGUUUGAUACUGGAUGCCUUUCUUUUCCCUCAAAUCAUCUUCAACAUGUUCCACAGCUCGAGAGAACUGGCUCUUUCUCGACUCUUUUACAUCGGAAUCACCCUUGUUCGCCUCGUACCCCAUGGAUAUGAUCUGUACAGGGCAAACAGCUAUGUUGAUAUAGAUGACACAUACAUUUAUGCAGAUCAUGGUGCAGAUUACUACUCAACUGCUUGGGACUUCAUUAUUAUUGUGUUGGGUAUAUUCUUUGCUGUGAUCAUACACUACCAACAGCGCCUCGGCGGUCGAUAUUUCCUUUCGAAGAGAUUCCUAGAAUCUGUGAUAGAUGAGGAACCUCCAGUGGAUUCAGAAGAACAAUUGCCAUUGAAAUAUAGCACCUAGUCCAUGCCUUGUGUUACUUCUAAGUGUUCACAACUUUUACUGUUUCCAAAUAAUUCUGUAAAUUGAUCCUUUUUCUUUUAUAGCUUAAUAAGCCUAAUGUAAUAUAAAGUUAUAAAUAAAAUUGUUUUAAAAAAUAUUUUAUUUUAGAUUAAAGUUUGGGUGAGCCUUAAAUGUGAAUAUGUACCCAAAACGAAUAAAUUUAAAAAUUAUACUUUUUUUUAUAUUUAAAUAUAAAUCCAACAUAAAUUCUUACAAAAAUUAAAAGUAAAUUUAUUGGCAUGUAGCAUAACAUUUCCUUGUAAUUUUGGUGUUUUCAGCUUUCCAUUUACCAACUUUUGACUUAGUUUACUCCUCUCUAGUGUUUGAUAAAAGCUAUUAAAAAACCUAUAAUUUAUAACCAUAGUUAAAUAUCCAAUGUAUUAAUGAUAUGUUUGGUAGGAAUAUGAAUUAGUAAUAAAUUAAUUUCAGUCGAUAAUUUAAAUAUUUAUAUGAUCGACUUGUUUGAUAUGUUUAAUAUAAACGAGGACUGUUAUGUUAAAUACUAGAUAUGAACUUUGGGGGUUAGCUGCCCCUAAAAUUUAUAAAAUUUCUUUUAAGGUCCUUUGAAUUUUCAAUUUUUUUAAUUGGAUAUUAUAAUGUAGUGUCUAAAAAGGAGGACAAAUUUGUGUUUGACUUCUUAAACUUUUUUCAAUUUUUUUAUUUGAUUUCUUUUAUAGAAUUUAUAAAUUUUUUAAUUAUAAAUUUAAUAAAUUAAUGCAAAGUAAUAUAUAAAUAUUAAUUUGUUAAUAAAGUAAUAAUUGCAACAUCUAAGUAUAAUUAUUAUCUAAAAUUAAUUAGAUGAAAAAUAAACUUAAAUAAUUAUAAUAUUUAAUAAAAAUUGAGCAUUUAGCUCUUUUUUUCUUCUAAAUUUUGGUGACUAAGAUUAUCCCGAAUGUAAAAAUCUGUUGUUGAAAGCAGGUCUUUUCCACUUUGAUCAUGUAUAUUAUAUAUAAAUAUCUCGCCCCCUUAUCAACAAUUUUAGCUUCGACCUUGUAAAUAACACUCAAAUUUCAAAAAGGCAAUGAAAGAUAGAUAUUACGAUAUCAAAGUGUUUGGUUGUUGAGAAUUGUGAUAUUUGUUACUAUUGUUAUAAUUUAUUUCGUAUGAAGUUUACAUCAGUGUUAAUUAUGAUUAUCAUCCGAAUCUGUAUCAUUAAGAUCAUCAAGAUUUUUUUUUUGGUGUACUUUUCAAAGUAUGAAUCAUUCCAAAUUCAUCUAUGAAUGAAGCUGCGAAUUAUGCAACAUGUUUGUACAAUCCAAUGAAAUAUGAAUCAUCACUUUUAUAAUAUACAAAUUAUUUUUAUGAUAAUUUUUUAUCAUAACUUAAAAAAAAUAAGUUUAAAUAAUAUAAAUUUUUAUUAUAAUUUUAUAAAAUAAAUAUAAAUUAUUUUCAGAACAUAAUUUAUUAUAAUGAUUAUGAUUUUAACCAUUACUUUUCACAACACAUUAUUCUAAACAUUAAAGGUAUGAUUUUAACCAUUACUUUCUACUACUUUCAAUUAUACAAAAAGAUUUAAGUUUAGAUCCCACACUUGACUCGAAGAUAUAAAAACCUUAAUUGGAUGAAGAGAUUGACGAUCUAGUUCGGAGGAGAGGGAUGAUUUUUAAAACUUUUUGAAUUCCUUUGCUUGAAGAUUAAUUUGGUAAUGGUGGAGGAAUAAUUUGCUUGAUGAAAAUUAUAGGGUUUGAAAAUAUUUUCUAUUUCAAAAUUUUAAAAUCUAAAAGGUAAAGGUUAAAUUAUUAGAAAUAAAAGUAUAAAAAUUAAAUUUAAAAUUUUUCAAUAGUUCAGGGACCGAUGACAUAACUUAACCCUUCUAUGAUUGGACCUUUUUAGCAAACAGCACGAAUUUUCAUCCAUCUCUUUGGUCUAGCUUUUAAGUCAAGUCAACUGUUGUAGGACCUGCCAAUAAAAUCCUUUUGUUUCGACCCAAAACCUACAAAAAAAUGACUAAACUGAGUCACAUUGACUUUGCUAUUUUUCAUAAUAAUAAUAGUAAUAACAAUAAUUCAUUAACCUAAAAAUAAUAAUAACUCAAUGGUAGUUUUGUCUUCGACGGGUCAUUGGAUCUGAUUCUAAGUCCUAUCCGAAAAUUAAAAAGGGUUUGGAUAAAAAUAUAGGCUCAAAAAAUAGACUUGGACAAAAAAAAACUCGUUUAAAAAACGGGUCAGACCUUGGGUAAGGCUUUUUGGCCCAAUCUCGGCCCUAAUUAGCAAAAAGACAAAAAAAAACUACUAUUUUCUUGUUGUUUUGAUACUAUUUUCUUAUUAUUUUCUUACUUUUUUACUAUCAUUUCACUCUUAUGUUACUACUAUUUUGUUGUUAUUAUUCGGAUAUUGUAUAACUCUUAUUUUAUUAUUAAUUUUGUUACUAUUUUAGAGACAUUUGUUUGUUAAGUUACACCUAUCUUAGUAUUAUUUAAGUAUAAAUUUAUUUUUUAAAUUUAUUUUCAAUUUUUUGAGAAUCAUUUAUUUUAAUGUUUUUUUAUAUUUUAGAUGUAUUAUAUUUUUAAUUUUUUAUAUAUAAAAAAUAAUAUAAAGAAAUUAAUUUGGGCGGAUCGAACUAGACUCGAGUUUUAGCAUUUUUAUCCAAGUUGGGCUUGAAAAAAAUUUAGGCCCAUUUUUCGGGUCAAAUCGAGCCCAAACAUAGCAAACGGGCCUAAAAUAAUAAUAAUUCAUUAUUGGAUUGAGGUAGAACAUGAGGCUUGACUCUCGGCUUGUUAAUAUAUUAUUUGGUACCCAUAUUUGAUUUCAAUGUUUGAUUUGGUAUCUGAGUUUGACUUCAAUGCUUAGUUUGAUACUUGAGUUUUUUCAUAUUAAUGCUUGAGUUUUUCUUUGUCACAUAUAAGUACCUAAAUUUUACUUCAAUGUUUAAUUUGGCACUUGAGUUUUUUCUUUUGUCCCAAUUAAGUACCUAUGAUUCUUUUACUAAGGCACACAUGUAAAAUAUUUUUUGAAGUACACGAUGUUUAGUUUGGGUGCCAAAUUAAAUAUUGAAACCAAAUAUAAGCACUAAAUGGUAUAUUAACCCUUAACUUUAUCAUAUAGGGACCUAAAUUUAACAAAAAGAAAAUUAACAGUGUUAACAAUUAGACCUAAAUUCCAAAAUUUAAAAAGUAGAAAGAGUAAGUUCCUGAAAAUAAAAAUAUAGGGACUAAAUUUUAAAUUUAUGAAUCGUACAGGAUCUACAACAUAUUUUAACCCUUUGAAAAAUCAACGAUUAGACCACUUUUAGCAAAUAGCAGGAAAUUGCAUCCAUGUGCUCUAGUUUUUAAGUCAAGUCAGCUGUUGUAGGACCUGCCGACAAUAAUAAUAAUAACCACUCGUUAUUGAUUGAGGUAGAAGACGAGGCAUGACUCUAAACUUCCUUUAAUUUUAAAGUUAAUAUAUUAUUUAGUACCUAUAUUAAAAUCCUAUAUUUAAUUUUAAUAUUCAAUUCGAUACUUAAAUUUUUUUCCUAAAUUGGUACCUGAUUUUUUGGUAUUGAUACUUGAGUUUUCUUUUUCCCAUACCAGUACUCAGGUUUGACUUUAAUGUUUAAUUUAACACCUGAAUUUUUUUUGUCCCAAUUAAGUAUCUAUGUUUUUUUACUAGGCGGACAUGUCAAAUAUUUAUUGAACCACACGAUGUCGUUUAGUUUGGGUAUCGAAUUGAACAUUGAAGCCAAACUUAGGUUUCAAAUUGAAACAAAAAAAGAUUAGGUACAAAAUUGAAAAUUCAAGCCAAAUGUAAGUACCAAAUGAUAUAUUAACCCUUAAUUUUAUCAUAUAUAUAUAUAUAUGUAAAUAUUAAUCAAAAAAAUUAAACAUUUUGGUGUUGAUUAUAUAAAUAUUCAUAUAAGACAUUCACACCAAAUGGCAUGAUUUCACCCAUAUUUCUGGUAUUGUUUAUACGUUUGAGGGUCAGUCUACAAAAAAAUACAUCAGUUUUCAAAAAUUAUUUAGUUGUUAAAUAUAAGGUUGUCUUUUGCUGUGUUCAUUUUAUAAUGUGAUUUGAUCAAAAACUUCCUUCGGAUUAAAUAUAAAAUAUUGUCAUAAUCCUCUCUUACUUUUCAAAGUCUUGCGAGGUCUUGUUCUUGGAAAUUUCCCAUGUCCAGUGAGAGAUGUAGAGUGAUAUCUAUAUAUUUACGAUCAUUUUCAAAGCUUUUGCAAUAAGUUCUUUAUCACAAUCUUGCUGUCCGAAGAAAUUCAUGUCUAUAGAUAUGGACUGUUCCAUAUUCUGUAGGACGAAACUUUGUUUUAAUGCUUUCUUCUUCUUGUUUAUCAUCUCCUCUUUCACAUGUCUUCAUGUAGUCUUCGGCACAGCAAGUGAAUUUGAUUAUGGCGUUCACUGUAACUCAGUUGUUCAUGAAUCCAAACCAGUUGAUGAGGAGUUCAAUAUCAUGCCUUUCCCUGGACGUCAAUAUGGUUACUUCAGUGGUGGUGAUAAAGUCCUAAACAAUCCUCCUUCACGUUCCUACUAUGCACCCAAAUCGAAAACUCUCCUUUUCGAGACUCACCACGUAUUUACAACCGAUGCUGAUGAUGUCUUUAUGGUGGAAGGAAACCUGAUUUUUCAAACCUCGUUUUACUAUGAACAGAGUAUCUCCUCUGGAAGCUCAUAUUUUCGUGGGACACUGGACUUCGAUUUUCGAGGCUUCUGGUCUCGAACAACCGGGAAGCUUUGCAUGGUGGGAUCGAGUUAUGCUUACUCCAAAGAAGGUAAACUGCUUCAUCUUGCUGCUGUUCUUAAGAUUAAUAAUCUUCAGAGUUCAAGUAAUAUUAGUACUUUAGUCACCGGUACCAUGGAUAGCUUGAGUUCUGCUAAUGAUCCAAAUCACUUUGAGCAAAUAUCACUGCUGAUGUUUCCUCAAGUAAAUUACGCUUACACCAUGAUUUCAAAUCAGUUUAGUAAAGGGUGUCCUCGGGGAACCGAUGUCCAACCGAUGUCAUCCCUCCGCUUAUCGCAAACUCGAACUAUUUGUGAUAUGUUAGGUGGAAGCAAUGCUUUCGAAUUGGAGUAUACUGGCAGUUGUAAUUCUUCAAAGAGUUGCAAUCCAUUUGGUGAUGGUAUUGGAUAUUUACCUUCAGUAAUAUCGUUGAGUAUGAUUCAGUGCUCAAACGAUAGGCAAAGCUUGAGGUUUCUGAUAGAAUUCCGGAACGACAGCUAUCAGGGAUACUAUAGCUCUCCCAAUCUCAACACUUCAUUAAUUGGAGAAGGAUCUUGGGAUGCAAAGAGUAAUCGGCUUUGUAUCAUUGCUUGCCGAAUCUAUGAUGCAUCGAGCUCCUUGGAGAAGUCUCAUGUCGGAGACUGCACGACACGGUUGAGCUUAAGAUUCCCUGCAAUCUUGUCUAUCAGAAACCCAAGCACCAUUGUAGGAGAAAUUUGGAGUGAGAAGCCUAGGAAUGAAGGUGGUUUCUUUGACAGGGUCGAGUUCCGAAAUACUGGACGUUAUGGAGGAGGAAUUCAACUUCAAGGUUUGAAGUAUGUGUACACGGAAAUGGACGAAGUGAAGAAAUCAUGUCCAAAGAAGAAUUCUAGGACUAAUAGCAGUAUGGAACACUAUCCAGAUGGCUAUUCUGGAGACAUGAGUUUUAGUAUGUCCAUCAUUAACGGUUCCAAAGGAAGCAUCGGAUGGGGUUCUUCGGAUAUUCUUGCGGUAGAUGAUCAGCAGUAUCAGAGAUUUCCAUCUCUAUUACCAUCCUCAAGCUCAAAGCCUAAAAGUUCUGGCGUUGAAUCCGAUUCCAGCAGUGGCUUGCUUAAUGUCAGCUAUAAAAUUAGCAUCCCGCCACUUAGUUUGGAAUUGGAUGGUGGCCUCAAACCGGUUAACCAAUCUUCAUAUGAAUAUCUGCAAACCAAAAUCCAAAUUUCUGCUGAAGGGGUUUAUGAUACAACAACAGGUAGCCUAUGCAUGGUUGGCUGCAGGCGUUCAAGGUUAGACGGCAAAUCAUUUUCAAGCCAUUCGAUAGAUUGCGAUAUCCUUGUGCAAGUCAACUUUCUUCCAUUGAACUCGCGCAAGACAAAUAACAUUAAGGGAAGCAUCGAGAGCACGCGUGAAAAAACCGAUAGUCUGUAUUUCAAGCCUCUGCAGAUUUUGGGAACAACUUAUUCUCGCAGUUGGGGAGCGGAAUCGGUUUGGAGAAUGGAUUUCGAGAUGAUCGGGUCGGUCGUAUCCAACACUCUUGCAAUUAUCUUUGUUGCAUUUCAAAUCUUUCAUGUGAGGAAGCACCGUGGCAUUGGUCCUAUGGUUUCACUUCUCAUGCUUGUUAUUCUAGCCCUGGGACACUUGAUCCCUUUGGUUCUAAACCUCGAAGCAAUGUUCAUUCAAGAUAGCGAGAGAUCGGUCUUGAUUAGAGGUGGAAAGUGGCUCGAAAUGAACGAGGUGAUAAUUAGAGUCGUCACAAUGGUGGCUUUUCUGCUGCAAGUCCGUCUUCUGAUGCUCUCAUGGACUGCUAGAUGCUCCACUGAGAAGAAAAAGACCUUGUGGAUUGCAGAGAAAAGGGGGCUGUAUGUGUGUGCUCCGGUGUACGUAAUCGGAGCUAUUAUCGCCUUUUCGGUUAAGUCAAGGCAGAAUGUACACAGAACAGUAAUGGCCAGGCAUUCUUGGUACGACAUAGAUGAAAUCAUUUUGGGGAAUUCAAGAGCUUAUGCUGGUUUGAUACUGGAUGCCUUUCUUUUCCCUCAAAUCAUCUUCAACAUGUUCCACAACUCGAGAGAACUGGCUCUUUCUCGACUCUUUUACAUCGGAAUCACCCUUGUUCGCCUCGUACCCCAUGGAUAUGAUCUUUACAGG